Molecule: transfer-messenger RNA, 164 nt
Filed under: Robiginitomaculum sp.
Lineage: Bacteria; Pseudomonadati; Pseudomonadota; Alphaproteobacteria; Maricaulales; Robiginitomaculaceae
Description: partial transfer-messenger RNA
Rfam family: Alphaproteobacteria transfer-messenger RNA
About the family: Bacterial tmRNA, also known as 10Sa RNA or SsrA, is named for its dual tRNA and mRNA-like properties. Its role is to liberate the mRNA from a stalled ribosome.
Source: RNAcentral
UGCCUUUAUUUUACCACAAGGUUGAUCUAUAUAGAGUUCGUUCGUUUUACGAACUAUGGCGAUAAACGCGACAGUUUAACCGGUUCGGACCCGGGGGCGGUACCCGGCGACUCCACCACCAGUACUUGUUUUGGCAAGUAUUGCUGAUGGGGUCGAAAUAGUAU